AUGCGGCAAGCUACACAUGCAAGUCGAGCGGUAGCACAGAGAGCUUGCUCUCGGGUGACGAGCGGCGGACGGGUGAGUAAUGUCUGGGAAACUGCCUGAUGGAGGGGGAUAACUACUGGAAACGGUAGCUAAUACCGCAUAAUGUCGCAAGACCAAAGUGGGGGACCUUCGGGCCUCAUGCCAUCAGAUGUGCCCAGAUGGGAUUAGCUAGUAGGUGGGGUAACGGCUCACCUAGGCGACGAUCCCUAGCUGGUCUGAGAGGAUGACCAGCCACACUGGAACUGAGACACGGUCCAGACUCCUACGGGAGGCAGCAGUGGGGAAUAUUGCACAAUGGGCGCAAGCCUGAUGCAGCCAUGCCGCGUGUGUGAAGAAGGCCUUCGGGUUGUAAAGCACUUUCAGCGGGGAGGAAGGCGAUAAGGUUAAUAACCUUGUCGAUUGACGUUACCCGCAGAAGAAGCACCGGCUAACUCCGUGCCAGCAGCCGCGGUAAUACGGAGGGUGCAAGCGUUAAUCGGAAUUACUGGGCGUAAAGCGCACGCAGGCGGUCUGUCAAGUCGGAUGUGAAAUCCCCGGGCUCAACCUGGGAACUGCAUUCGAAACUGGCAGGCUAGAGUCUUGUAGAGGGGGGUAGAAUUCCAGGUGUAGCGGUGAAAUGCGUAGAGAUCUGGAGGAAUACCGGUGGCGAAGGCGGCCCCCUGGACAAAGACUGACGCUCAGGUGCGAAAGCGUGGGGAGCAAACAGGAUUAGAUACCCUGGUAGUCCACGCCGUAAACGAUGUCGAUUUGGAGGUUGUGCCCUUGAGGCGUGGCUUCCGGAGCUAACGCGUUAAAUCGACCGCCUGGGGAGUACGGCCGCAAGGUUAAAACUCAAAUGAAUUGACGGGGGCCCGCACAAGCGGUGGAGCAUGUGGUUUAAUUCGAUGCAACGCGAAGAACCUUACCUGGUCUUGACAUCCACAGAACUUUCCAGAGAUGGAUUGGUGCCUUUCGGGAACUGUGAGACAGGUGCUGCAUGGCUGUCGUCAGCUCGUGUUGUGAAAUGUUGGUUAAGUUCCCGCACGAGCGCACCUUAUCCUUUGUUGCAGCGUCGUCGGCAACUCAGAACUGCAGUGAUAACUGAGAGGGUGGGGAUGACGUUCAAGUCAUUCCAU
Molecule: ribosomal RNA, 1154 nt
Filed under: Klebsiella pneumoniae
Lineage: Bacteria; Pseudomonadati; Pseudomonadota; Gammaproteobacteria; Enterobacterales; Enterobacteriaceae
Description: bacterial SSU rRNA
Rfam family: Bacterial small subunit ribosomal RNA
Source: RNAcentral